GGGGAUACCCACCGGCUGAAGGCCGACUGUGAUUCCCUCUACCCCCACAAGGCGAUUUUGACCUCCUGAGGGCUGCUCUAGAGGACUCAGGCCCCGAAGCUGUCCCAGGGAGGUCCCCGCUGCAUCCCAUCACCCAAACUGUGCCUCAUGGAGUCGAUGUUUAGCAGCCCUGCCGAGGCGGCGCUGCAGCGAGAGGCCGGGAUGCCAGGACUGCUCACUCCUCUUCCGGACCUGGACCGAGUGUACGAGCUGGAGCGAGUCGCUGGAUUUGUCCGCGACCUGGGGUGUGAACGAGUUGCCUUGCAGUUCCCUGACCAGCUAUUGGGAGAUGCUGUGGCUGUGGCUGCACGACUGGAGGAGACGACAGGGUCAAAGAUGUUCAUUCUGGGUGACACAGCCUACGGCAGCUGCUGCGUGGAUGUGCUGGGUGCUGAGCAAGCUGGAGCUCAGGCUGUCAUACAUUUUGGCCCUGCCUGCUUAAGCCCCCCAGCCCGCCCACUGCCCGUCACCUUCGUGCUUUGUCGACGUUCUGUGGCCUUGGAGCUCUGUGUCAAGGCCUUUGAGGCCCAGAACCCAGACCCCAAAGCGCCUGUGGUGCUGCUGAGUGAGCCGGCCUGUGCCCAUGCCCUGGGUAAGGGGUUUUGCCUGUGUAUGCAGAAAGGAGGCUUUGGCUACUCUCCUGCGCCCGCGGUACCUGGACCUGCUAGUCUCUAGCCCAGCUUUUCCCCUACCAGUGGGUUCCCUGAGUCCAGAGCCUAAACCCCUGGAGCGUUUUGGGCGCCGCUUCCCCCUUGCCCCAGGGAGGCGUCUAGAAGAGUAUGGUGCCUUCUAUGUAGGGGGCUCUAAGGCCAGCCCUGACCCGGACCUUGACCCAGACCUGAGUCGGCUGCUCUUGGGGUGGGCACCAGGUCAACCCUUCUCCUCCUGCUGCCCAGAUACAGGGAAGACUCAGGAUGAGGGUGCCCGGGCUGGACGGCUAAGGGCACGAAGACGAUAUCUG
Molecule: small RNA, 1000 nt
Filed under: Pongo abelii (Sumatran orangutan)
Lineage: Eukaryota; Metazoa; Chordata; Mammalia; Primates; Hominidae
Description: processed transcript
Source: RNAcentral